CCUACUUUGUUCCGCCGUGCGGCCUCUUGGUCCCUGGCCGCCCGUCUGCUCCAGCCAUGCCGCGUGCAGGAAGACGGCUCUAUGAGUUGUAAACUGCUUUUGUACGGGGGUAAACGCAGAUACGCGUAUCUGUCUGAAAGUAUCGUACGAAUAAGGAUCGGCUAACUCCGUGCCAGCAGCCGCGGUAAUACGGAGGAUUCAAGCGUUAUCCGGAUUUAUUGGGUUUAAAGGGUGCGUAGGCGGUCGGAUAAGUUAGAGGUGAAAUCCCGAGGCUCAACUUCGGAAUUGCCUCUGAUACUGUGCGGCUAGAGAGUAGUAGCGGCAGGCGGAAUGUAUGGUGUAGCGGUGAAAUGCUUAGAGAUCAGACAGAACACCGAUUGCGAAGGCAGCCUACCAAGCUACUGCUGACGUUGAGGCACGAAAGCGUGGGGAGCAAACAGGAUUAGAUACCCUUGUAGUC
Molecule: ribosomal RNA, 460 nt
Filed under: uncultured bacterium
Lineage: Bacteria
Description: partial 16S ribosomal RNA
Rfam family: Bacterial small subunit ribosomal RNA
Source: RNAcentral